This is a non-coding RNA of Petromyzon marinus (sea lamprey), 1340 nucleotides long. The record is from RefSeq and is a predicted model, not a curated record. NCBI's taxonomy places the organism in Eukaryota, Metazoa, Chordata, Hyperoartia, Petromyzontiformes, Petromyzontidae.
GUAGUGACGUCACCGCCUGGCUGAUCGCCAGCCCGGGCUGACGUCAGUUUCUAAAUCUGGCCCGCGGCUUGUUUACAAGGCGCAUUGUCUCCUGCUGUAGCUGCUGCUGUAGCUCUAGCUGCUGCUGUAGCUGCUGUAGUAGCAGCUACAGCAGCAGCGGCGGCGACUGUAGGCCCGGCACAGCUCUCGGUACCUCGCACGUCGACUCGGCGAGUACUCGACGGGACCGAGCCCCCCCUCGCGGAGCCCCCCCUCGCGGGACCGAGCCCCCCCUCGCGGGACCGAGCCCCCCCUCGCGGGACCGAGCCCCCCCUCGGUGGCUCGCUCCUCGCUAUGUAAACAACAACAACACCGCCACCACGCGCCGUGUUCCUUCGCGGGGGGCUUGGCGUCAACAACACGGCGGGCCCAGCAGCACGCCACGGAUCGUGUCAACAUCGCCACGACGGCGGCGGUGACACACCUUCAACACCACCAACUGGAGCCACCACCACCACCAACUGGAGCCUCCACCACCAGCUGGAGCCUCCACCACCAGCUGGAGCCUCCACCACCAGCUGGAGCCUACGACCGCGUUGAACGCUCACGUCUCUCUGCUGGAACCCCGAGCGCCGUGGAUAGUGCACGCGGAUGGAUUUAAGAUCGUGGUAGCGGUGUCCACUCACUGGUACAAGUCGUGAAUCAGAAUCACAAUCUUAAUUUAUCCUGGAGAAAUCCGAUGAGCCAUGAAGCUCUUUGUGCGUGGUGGAGCCUUUCCAUGUGGGCCCCGUCACAGUGCACGGUCUAAAUCAGGCUCUUCUCCUCCUCGGUGCUCGCCAAAGCCCAAAUGGGCACGAGCGACAGCGCCUCAUGCCGUCUAAACCUUGUGCCGGCAACAUCGCCGGAUAACGCCAUUUAUCCGGACGGCUCAACUUAUAAAACUGAGCAAUUGAAUUAGACUCGCCCAUUAUGCUGAUUGAAUUUGACAGCCAAUCCGGUUAAAUUGGAACCAGUACGUCUUAUGACGGCUCGUGCACGGCUUACACAUGGCUACAGUCACCGCCUAAUAGCCUCAUGAAGGACUUGAGUCACGCGUUGUGUGCUGCUCAGAAGCUGCCGUACCCCCUGGCCCGCCCCUGGUUCAAGUAAUCCAGGAUAGGCUGUGGGCUGAGCCGGCCUGUCCUCGGUUGCUUGGCCUUGGUGCGGUGCCACCAUCGGCCACCAUCGGCCACCGGUUGACGUGCGAUUCGUGUCUCCGGGCGUGAGCUGCUGCGGGGAAGUACGUGAGCCGUCACUUGAGACGCGCCGGUGACUGCGUGUAAAAUAAAACGCCGUGUUUCACGUACGCGGCUGUCACCACC